RNAcentral lists this long non-coding RNA (244 nucleotides) under Oryza brachyantha (malo sina). Its description in RNAcentral is "long non-coding RNA (OBRA_LNC000336)". The record is from RNAcentral. Lineage: Eukaryota; Viridiplantae; Streptophyta; Magnoliopsida; Poales; Poaceae.
UCCAAUGUCGGUAUAGACAGAAGAAGUGGGCUUUUGUUCUGAUUUCUGUGGCCCAUCGUCUGCUUUCACAAGGCCCAGCAAAAGAUUCUUCUUGGCCCAUCAAAGGCCCGAGACAAACCAUACUCUUCAUUUGUUCAUAUAUCUAGCAAAAAAAAAAAUCAUGUUACUAAAAUGUGAUGAUAAGUCUCUUCUGAAUUGUACUGAACCGAAAGCUAUAGUGAGAAUAAUUGCCCUUAAAGCAACC